Molecule: small RNA, 252 nt
Filed under: Drosophila ananassae
Lineage: Eukaryota; Metazoa; Arthropoda; Insecta; Diptera; Drosophilidae
Description: GF26383
Source: RNAcentral
AUUCUAGUGCAUUUAGUUGAAUUGAACGUGUUGAAUUGCAUUUUAACAAAAGAAAUCUACUAAUAAUACUCAUUAUAAUUAGUGGGUAGAAUUACUAGAAUAAAGAAGAAAUUGUCGCAUUGUUUUGAUGUUUAUAAUCAACAAGGAGUGAUUUUUCCACCUACGACGACUUCAUUAGGGCCAUCCGGGAUGGAAUAAGGAGAGCCAAAAAUAAAAAUUAUAAGGAAAAAUCCAAAAAAAACAAAGAAAAUU